GAUAUUUUUUUUUUGGAUGUAGAAACUUUGGACUUUAAGUUCCUUUUGAAGCCCAAGUAUAGUAAUGUGCCUUGUACAGUUGAGGAAGGUCCCUCUUCACUCAUCUCUUUCUAGGAUUCUCAAUCCCAACAACAGUUAUACAGUUACAGGUAAACAAUCCAAUUCCUCAUUCAAAAUGUUUCUCGGCGAGCUCUUCGAGAGCUGAUUUAACAGCAUCUUGACCACCAAGAAGCAACCGGGUCAUGAUUUUGGGUUGGUCUCGAAUGGCUCUACCAAACCAACAGACUGUGGAGUACCCAAGCUUCAAGCUUGUCAUCAUCGGUGAUGGAGGAACUGGAAAAACAACUUUUGUGAAGAGACACUUGACCGGAGAGUUCGAGAAGAAAUAUGAACAUAAGGGUCUCGAAUGAUGCUUUGGUUUUAGUUAGGGUCCCCAUUCAGUUUACAUAGAAAUUUGUGCUGUUUUGAUGUGUUUGGAAGUUAUUAAUUUUUUAAAAUGGGUUUUAUUUGCAAAUAGCAACUAUAAUUGCAAAGUUUGAAAUGUUUUAUUUUUUAAAAUGGGUUUUAAAAUGUUUUGCUGUUUAUCAUGUUAUUCUAGCAGUAGA
Molecule: long non-coding RNA, 605 nt
Organism: Quercus robur (English oak)
Lineage: Eukaryota; Viridiplantae; Streptophyta; Magnoliopsida; Fagales; Fagaceae
Exons: 3
Source: RefSeq, a predicted model, not a curated record